This 433-nucleotide ribosomal RNA is filed under the name uncultured bacterium. RNAcentral's name for it is "partial 16S ribosomal RNA". It matches the Rfam family "Bacterial small subunit ribosomal RNA", at positions 29 to 507 of the family's 1533-position model. The record is from RNAcentral.
AACGAACGCUGGCGGCAGGCCUAACACAUGCAAGUCGAGCGAGUCCUUCGGGGUUAGUGGCGGACGGGUGCGUAACGCGUGGGAACGUGCCCUUAGGUACGGAAUAACUUCGGGAAAGGGGUGCUAAUACCGGAUAAGGUCUCCGGACCAAAGAUUUAUCGGCGUAGGAUGGGCCCGCGUUGGAUUAGCUAGUUGGUAGGGUAAAGGCCUACCAAGGCGACGAUCCAUAGCUGGUCUGAGAGGAUGAUCAGCCACACUGGGACUGAGACACGGCCCAGACUCCUACGGGAGGCAGCAGUGGGGAAUAUUGGACAAUGGGGGCAAGCCUGAUCCAGCCAUGCCGCGUGAGUGAUGAAGGCCUUAGGGUUGUAAAGCUCUUUUAGCUGGGAAGAUAAUGACGGUACCAGCAGAAGAAGCCCCGGCUAACUCCGUG